UACGUAGGGGGCAAGCGUUGUCCGGAAUCAUUGGGCGUAAAGCGCGCGUAGGCGGCCCGGUAAGUCCGCUCUGAAAGUCCAGGGCUUAACCCUGGAAAGCGGGUGGAUACUGCCGGGCUUGAAUCCGGAAGAGGCGAGUGGAAUUCCUGGUGUAGCGGUGGAAUGCGCAGAUAUCAGGAGGAACACCAAUAGCGAAGGCAGCUCGCUGGGACGUUACUGACACUGAGGCGCGAAAGCGUGGGGAGCGAACAGG
RNAcentral lists this ribosomal RNA (253 nucleotides) under uncultured bacterium. RNAcentral describes it as "partial 16S ribosomal RNA". It matches the Rfam family "Bacterial small subunit ribosomal RNA", at positions 524 to 776 of the family's 1533-position model. The record is from RNAcentral.